CCAUUCUGUUCAAAAGUUUUCACCCCCCGGCUCUUAAUGCAUGUUUUUUCCUUCUGGAGCAUCAGUGAGCGU
This is a non-coding RNA of Pangasianodon gigas (Mekong giant catfish), 72 nucleotides long. Lineage: Eukaryota; Metazoa; Chordata; Actinopteri; Siluriformes; Pangasiidae. The record is from the annotation of a GenBank genome assembly.